ACGACCUUACUUGAACAGAAUCUGUUUUAUAGGCUCGUACCUCUGUAUCCUAAGUUCUAAGGAGACAGGAUUCCAAGUCUGGUUGAUGAACCGAGACUGUGUGAUCAGAGCGUGAUUAUUAAUCCAGGAGUCUAAGCGAUGUGGCUUCUUCGAUCGCAGAGGAUCGUUCACGGUCUGCCUCGUCUGGCCGGAGUGGUCACGCAGUUGUCUGACAGACU
Hibiscus syriacus is the source of this 218-nucleotide small nucleolar RNA. RefSeq annotates it as small nucleolar RNA U3. The record is from RefSeq and is a predicted model, not a curated record. The transcript has a single exon. NCBI's taxonomy places the organism in Eukaryota, Viridiplantae, Streptophyta, Magnoliopsida, Malvales, Malvaceae.